AUUAGUAACUGAGUGGGUAAAGCGAUGGCGUCUGAAGCGAAAGGUAUUGGGUUCGAGUCCCAGAGUGAACA
RNAcentral lists this transfer RNA (71 nucleotides) under Schistosoma mansoni. Lineage: Eukaryota; Metazoa; Platyhelminthes; Trematoda; Strigeidida; Schistosomatidae. The record is from RNAcentral.